RNAcentral lists this non-coding RNA (21 nucleotides) under Arabidopsis thaliana (thale cress). The record is from RNAcentral. Lineage: Eukaryota; Viridiplantae; Streptophyta; Magnoliopsida; Brassicales; Brassicaceae.
UGGUGUGAUGUUAUGGUUAUA